AGGGCCUUGAUUCAUUCAUAAAAUUCUCAUUAACAGGCAUAGUUUACGAAGGCAGAGUAUGGGUUUGACAGAUUUAUUGAAAACACAAGGAAUGAUAUGGUAGGGCCUGGCUUCAGCAGAUCGGUGCACUAAGGGAGGGAGAGAAGUGAGUAUGGAUUGUUGGAGGCUGUGAGCUACUGGUUUGAACGUUAGAUCUCCUACUUGCAAGUUGAGGUGGAUUCUCUCGGAGAACGUGAGUAGUGUCACAGAGGCUGAAGAAGACAGGUAGGUUUGUUUGCGAGUGAUUACUUUGACUUGUCAGGAGAUGGAGGGUGGACAGGCAGUGUUUCUGGGAACAUAUAGUCUGGAGCUGAGGUGAGCACUUCCUUUGGUUUGCAGAUCUGAAGGAGGCUUUUGGUGGAGCUUCACAGAGAGGUAUUUCAAGUGAACUGCGGCCCACUGGUCAGGGUAAAAUCCUGAUUUGGGUCUUAAGGGUAUAAAUCCACUCUGGGAGAAAGGACCACAAAAACUCAGGUAAGACACGGUCACGAAAACAAGAAUGACAGGGCUUAGUCUGCUGGUCUGAUUACCACUCAGGUGAGUUAACAAUCUGGCAACUCCUUCAGGGUUCCUGCUGUUUAAGAACUCUCACUUGUUUGCUCCUGAUGAUCCACAGCUGUGUGGAAGCACCUGCUUGUCACACCCUGUGAGAAAAGGUGAAAAAGAAAAAAACACAACGCAAUGCUAACCUGUGCUCAGCUCUAUAACCUGACAUAGCUAGGAUUUUUUUCACUUAAGGAAGCUGCUCACAAGUAGUUUAUGCACAGCCUUAAUUUGGGGAUGUUUCUGGUGUUACAGAACAUUUUUCAGGCUUCAUUUUGUAGUGGAAAAAAUUUCUUAUUCUUUAGAUUUCCAUAAAAAACUUGGCAUUGUCGGCUGGAUCAAGCAAGCUGACGAGGCCAAGCUGGAGGACUCAUUAAGGACACUUCAGUCCUCCUGAGAAAAGAGGAACCUGGACUCCCGUCUCCUGCAUUGACAGCUGCCUGGAUCACAAGAACUAGAGUGACUUCUAUAUCGGCCGACUUCCAACAAAGAGGCACAAGACAAGGACGGGGUAGAGGCAGAGGAAGAGGAGGUCGCAGGGAUGAUCAUAAUUGUGGCCAGUAUGGACACUGGAAGAAUAAUUGUCCGCAGCCACCAUGAGGAGGCGGUCCACCCUAGUCCGACUGAGUGGGGGAUGGGACAUCAACGAGGAAUACACCUGUGUACUUUCACAUUUGUUGUGGCCUUAACAGCAGUAUAAUGCAACUUCUUUUAUUUGAGAAACCUAGGACCAUCCAUCUGAGCCCAGCUAAGGGACCAUUACAUGCGUUCCUGCCCGGUCAGUGGGUGCUGAUUAAAGACCUUCGAAGGAAGCAUUGGAAGGCUAGACGGUGGCAGGGACCUUUCCAGAUUCUUCUCAUCAUUCACACUGCCAUGAAAAUCGCUGAAAGAGCCACGUGGGUCCACGCAUCGCAUUACAAGCUGUUCAGCGGAGAACCACCUAAGGAGUCAUGGCUAAAGUUUUCUUCACCCUGCUGGGAUUUAUUGCCAGCUUCUUUUUAAUGAUCACAUUUUCCACUGGACCUCUGAUUGGUCGAGUAGAAUAAAGAGCUUUUCCAAGGCCAGUGCAAAAUCCUUUGGAGGCACCAUGGGUGAAACAAAACUUGCUCUCAAUUUGCAAACUUUUCAGCUAAAACUACAACAGCAGAAAACUGUUUUAUCUGCAUGUCACACCAUCUCCCUUCUACCUAUGUUGCUGUACCAGGAGAAAGGAAGAUUACAGAUUACAUGUCAUCCUCUCAUUAUUCUUUAGAUCCCAGGAUAUUAAUUCUAUCUGAGGACAUGACUGAGGACAGAUUUCAGAUGAUAACUUUUGAGAAGAGUAAACUCACAUAUUCUAUGUGCAUUAUGAUGUGGUCCAUUGAGAAUAGUGUACAAUAUCACAUGUUAUCUUUCUCUAAACCUUCUGCCUAUCAGAGUUCUGCAGAAAACAUUGAAGAUGAGGAUGAUGAAUAUUGCAUUGCUUAAAAUGUCCAUGACUUAAGGAAACAUUGAUCUUAAAGUGCUGAAAGCAUCUGAUCCUUGUGGAGAAGCCUAUGUCAUGCUGACAUGAUUUGCAUUGUGUUUUUUUUUUUGUACAAAUAUCUUUUUAUAGUUUGUGAAUUUUUCUUUUAUUUUAUUUAUAUAAACACUGAAGACUAGUCUUGGGAGAAAUUGAUUUAUUGAAGCAGUAUCUCACUCUGUUGAUGAUAGAUUUGCAUAACCAUUUAAACCCAGUUUAUCCUGUAUAGUGUCAUGUCCCAUGGAAGAAGAGGGCCCAAAUACAAACAGGAUGAAGACAGCCACAUGAUGAAGCAAUGAUUUCAUAAUCACCAGCCUGAGGAAUAAUGAACCAAAGAAACUGGGCCAAGUAUAACAUUGGAAUCUAACAGUGAUUAUAGGAUAACUGAGAGCUUAACUACGCCGGGAGGACAAUCACUACAACAAAAAACCAGCUAGUCUGAAUUGGCAGUGUGUAAAACAUCUAGGCAGGGAACACAAAAAAAGAGAACAGAUCAGAAAAAUGAAAUUAUCAGAACUACGGCUAAACAGGAAUAUCUCAAAAAACAGAACCCUGAACAAAGAACUAAGAAAAAAGCAAAUGCAAAGUCAUUGGAAUCGACACAAAGAGGACCCAUUUUGGCAAACUUUAUUAUUCAGACUAAAACUGGGCAAGAUUCUGAUCUUGACACCAUAAUAUUAUUGUGUCUAGGAUGUAUCACCUCUCACCGAUAUGGCCACAUAAUCUACUUCUCCCAAAAAUACGCCUCGUCAUGUAAUAGAUGCCUAUGUAUUUUUUAUAUGUGUCCAUUGUAUGGUAAUAAUUGCCUGUUUUAUUUAUUUGGUUUUGCAAAUGUGUAUGUUAAGCUUUUGAUUGGAUUACCAGUGAUACAGGGUGCUAAUGUAAGCUGUGCUUACUUUAAGUUAAAUGUCUUUGUCUUCACCUAGUGCAAAUAUUUCCCACCUCAGUUAGAAAAACAUAGAUAAGAUCACUGCUAGUGGCUUAUUUCCCAGAAAUGUAGGACUUCCCGUAAUGAUUUGUUUUGUCUGUGGCUGUAGCUGUUUGGCAGGGCCUACCCUACAGGUCACACCUUCUGAGUGUCACAUUACACUAAAAAUAUGAGAGCAGGUCUUGCAGCUCUAAGAUCAGUCAGUGUAAUUAAUAAAAUAUUUAGACAAUGCAUUGCUCCAAAUCAAACAAACAGUUUAUAUACUCUAGAAACUGUUUGUAAUAUCGUAUCAGCUAGUCUGAAUAUUUCACAACCAGAAGGAAACUUGUUUUAGAUUUUUGUCAAAACCUUUCAAAAAUGCUUACAUGUAAACUUUGUUGUAACUUUGUUUUGUUUGUGUGAAGUACUGCAGCUCUACUACAGGUAGAGACAGGGGUGAUGAGAGUGAGUAAUGCUACAAGAGGAUUGCCUUGUACAGGGCAAGUAUUUUCGGGGAAAACCUCUGAAGUGAAAAAAAAGAGGAAGCACAGUCUUCCAUGAAAGAGUGAAAUAUCACCACAAUUCUGGCCUGCCACAGAGUUCUUCUGUUUUUGUUGUUUUUUGAUUUUCUAAGGAACUAGUCCUCCAAAGUAACUUGGCUCUAUGGGAUAAAAAAGUACCCCCUUGAUAGCAUGAAUUAACUGUGACUAAACACAUUUCUGGGAGAGCUAUGUUUCACUUUAACCACCCACAGCCAGACCACAUUACUUUCACAUCUGAAAAACCAGUCAGUCAAAAGUGUAUAAAUAAUGGUCCAUUAUCCAGGAGGUAACAAAUCAACCCAGAACAGCACCUAAGGCACUGCAGAACUCAACGGCCUCAGUUAAGGUCUAUGUUCAUGAUUCAAGAACAGGAAAAAGACUGGAUAAAAAUAGCAACCAUGGAAGAGUUCCAAGGCCAGAACCAAUGUUGACCAAAAACACCACAAAGUCUCAACCAGUUUCACAUUUGCCACAGAAACAUCUUGAUCUGACUUUUGGAACAAUAUCUUGUGGACUAAUGGAGACAAAAGUAAAACUUUUACCUCAUUCCACCUGGAUUAAAACUAACACAAUAUUUCAGAUAAAGAGCAUUAUAGCAACAGUGUUAUGAUUUGGGGGUGUUUGGUUUUUGGUUUUGGGCUUUUCUCUUAUAUUGUUCUGACAGUUGAGUUUUGGAACCUGCUUCUAUUUAUUGUUUUAGAGGUGGUGCUGUGUUUGCUUAGGUUUGGUUUCUUCUGAUUGUUGUUCUGUUCAUAUUGCUUUCUGGAUUGAUGUUCUGUUGUUGCUAUUUUUCUUAGGUUUGAUUAUGUCCUGGUAGUAUUUAGCUCCACCCAUGCUUUGUUUUCACUCUCUGUCUCUGUUAAAGCAAUCAGCUUCAUUUGAUCCACCUGUACUAUGCCGAUCAGUUUCCCUGUUUCUCCUGUGCCAUGCUCAUAUGUACACUGCCAUGCUGUUCAUUCUCUGCGGAAAUAUUCACUCUGUUAUCCUACAUAGGAGAGGACAUAAUUCGUAAUACAGCUCGACCCUUGAACGUUCAUCUAAAAAAGACAUUAAAAGUCAGGAUAAGUUAUCCCAACUAAUUAACUCCAACUAUUUUUGACCCUAAAAAUAUUUAUGUUUAUCUUUCACUUUUAAAUGUAAUCCUAAAUUGUUUAGCUAGGCAACAAGAAUUUGUUUGUUGGGGUACUUUUUAAAGCUAUCCACACAACUAAAACAUUUAAACAGGAGAAUCUGUUACAAUAUGAAUAUAAUAAAGGAAGGAAAAACAGUAAAACAUUAAAAGCAAUCUACAGUUAUUUGUAAUUUGUUUACAAAAAGAGAGCUCUGUAUAACAGCAGGACAUAAGAAGGACAUAUUUUCUCCACAUGACUUUGUUUUAAAGGUAAAUAUUUACCUUACUGGUUACUAGGGUGUGGUUCUUCUUGUCAUUCAAAAUGACAAGAAGCACUGUAAAACACUGUGUUUAAUAUGUCACUCUUUGCAUUUAAAUGAGGAAAAUUAUUUCCAGUGAUAUUCUAAUUUAUUAAGAUGCACUCUGAAUCAUGCAGCCAAAACAAGUUUGUCUACUGUAAUUUAUUUCUUUGAACACAAUCUGAUACAGUAUCUAAACAUGACAUCUUCCUCCAACUUCCUUAUUGUGCUUAAAAACCAUUUUAUUACCCUUUAUAACUAAUAUUGCUUCAAAAUAAUGAUCAAACUCACUCAUUUCUUAAGCUCUUUGGUAAAACCAGGUAAUGAAGAUGUUUUUUUGUUCAGGUGCUCUAGCAACUCUUUUUAGUGAGAUGUCUUGUAGCUGACUGACAGGCUGUGCAGCCUCUGAAAAAACAUAAAGAUACAAUUGUUUAAAAAUAAGCACAGAUCCAAAUAUUUAGUAAAACCUGAACUGAAUUCAGGUCUUCCUUACAGCUGUGGUAACAUUUGUUUUUCCAUUGUGGUUGCUGUAGCCUAAAAAUAUCACUGGACAAGAAUUUGAAGUUCCCAUUUUGAUCUUGUUCUAGGACAUUGGUUUCCUGUACCACCUGAAAGAUUUUAAUUUUGUCUUUUGUGUUUCCUUUUUUUUAAACAUGUGCUGUCUGGCAGAGUAGCAUUUGGAAUUGUUUUCUGAGGAAGAGGAAGCCCAGAGGUUUACUUUCACAAGUGAAGCAGUAUGACUUUUGCUAGGUCCCACAUUUGAUGGGGGGCCUAAGAUGAUCCAGAAAAGAGAGGAGUCCAACACCCAACCUGAUAGAAAAACAUGCAUACAGUCACAGUCACACAUUCCCACCUUCAUGCGUACACAUACAAAUACUCACACCCACACACCCAACGUAAAGACACACAAGAAUGGAAGCCAUACACUCACUCACACUCCCCAUACACACUAUAUACUCCCAGGUCUAGGUACUGAUACUCUAGAAGGGCAACCAGCUCCCGGAGGCAGUAGGUGGUCCCCUUUAUUCAGCAGUGGAAAAAGGCAGACCACCAAAGCCCCCAGUCCCGUCUACAGCCGGUACCGUCCGAACCUGGAGAACCCUGGCCUAGACCCCGACCCCAUGCAGACUGGGCCACAAAAACAAAAAAUUUAAAAAAAAUUUAAUUUAAAAACAAGGAUGGAUCCACUGGCCCACACCAGCCAGUCAACCAAGGACAAAACAGUCCCAAGCCCCUAAUGAAC
This is a long non-coding RNA of Girardinichthys multiradiatus, 6185 nucleotides long. RefSeq lists it as uncharacterized. Lineage: Eukaryota; Metazoa; Chordata; Actinopteri; Cyprinodontiformes; Goodeidae. The transcript is spliced from 5 exons. The record is from RefSeq and is a predicted model, not a curated record.